RNAcentral lists this unclassified non-coding RNA (821 nucleotides) under Hevea brasiliensis (rubber tree). Lineage: Eukaryota; Viridiplantae; Streptophyta; Magnoliopsida; Malpighiales; Euphorbiaceae. The record is from RNAcentral.
UGGAAAUCACUGAUAAGCAAUGGUAAUAGAGAUGGUAUUGAUGAGAAUUUUUGUUUUAAGGAAUAUUUAAGGAUAUGAUAAUGCGGAGAGUGGUGGAUAGGCCAAACUUCAAAAAUCUCAUGGGCGAAAAUUCUUUAAAGGAAGAGAAGAGUGUAAAAUUUGGAUUAAGUUGAAACUCCUAUUAAUCAGAAUUUUGAGAAUUCAAUAAUGAAUUCUUUUUGAAGGGGAGAAGAAUGUAAUACUUGAAUUUUUGGAGAAUAUAACCUCUGCACCAUCAAUGUAUGCAAUAUAUAAUUAUAUGCACGGUACUAUUUAGAUAUACGACCAUUACAAAUAUUACAUUUUUGCACUUGCUAUGCUAAGAAUGAUAAUAUAGUUAUUUUACAUUUUAAGACUUGAUGGAGGUAGGUGAAACAUGUAAUUUAAUAUGAACCAUUGGAUCAAGAUAUAUGGAAUAUGGUGUUGCAAGAAAUUUGUUGAGUUCAAAUAAUAUAUGAAGUUGAUUUUACAACCAAGUUAGAGUUAUGAGAAAGAUUGAUAAUCUCUCAAGAAGAAAAUAAUUUAUAGGGAGGAAUGUGAAAAUUGCAUUGGACUUAAAAGUAAUGUUUAUAGAGUCUUGGAGUGAAAAAUUAAAUAUUUCAAAGGUUGAAGGACUAAAUGGUAAUUUUUUCAGAGGAACAAAAUCAGUAGAGCAUCCGCUGGGAACUCAAAUAUGGUAGGUAAAAAAAAAAAAGAAAAUAAGGGUUGAAAUUUGCUAAGUUUAAAAGCACUGUUAUUAAAGGCGCGCCUCAGGCGCGGGCUCAAGGCUCACAAGGCUCAAA